CGAGCACGCGCGUGUGGCAUAUCAAUAAGCGGAGGAAAAGAAACUAACAAGGAUUCCCUUAGUAACGGCGAGUGAAGCGGGAAGAGCUCAAAUUUGAAAUCUUCAAGGUUCUACCUUGACGAAUUGUAGUUUAUAGAAGUGUUUUCUGUUAGUGGAGUGGCAAAAGUUCUUUGGAAUAGGACAUCAUAGAGGGUGAGAAUCCCGUAUUUGGUCAUUCCUCCUAGCGUUGUGAUACACUUUCAACGAGUCGGAUUGUUUGGGAAUGCAGUCCAAAAUGGGUGGUAAAUUUCAUCUAAAGCUAAAUAUUGGCGAGAGACCGAUAGCGAACAAGUACCGUGAGGGAAAGAUGAAAAGAACUUUGAAAAGAGAGUUAAACAGUACGUGAAAUUGUCAAAAGGGAAGCGUUUGACACCAGUGUUGUUUUUCCGAAAAUCAAUUACGAAUGUUUUAGUUUUUGAGGAGUUAUGACUUCAUCGGCUUGCUCCUUUCUUUAUGAAACUUUCUUAAUGCACUUUUCGGUUAACAAGUCAACAUCAAUUUCUUUUGUUGUAAAAGGGUCAUGAGGAAGGUGGCUUUCUUUUCGGAGAAAGUGUUUAUAGCCUUGUGCCUCUGCAAUCGGAGAGAUUGAGGUCUGCAGCGUAGAUCCUUCGGGGUUAGAUACGUUUGUGCUAAGUUAUAGCUUUUCAUAGACAACUUGUUGACUAUGUUUAGUCUUGUAGCUUACUCGCCUGACGCUAUUUUACCUACGCUUAGGAUGUUGAGCGCAUGUCUCUCUCU
RNAcentral lists this ribosomal RNA (777 nucleotides) under uncultured Neocallimastigales. RNAcentral describes it as "partial large subunit ribosomal RNA". It matches the Rfam family "Eukaryotic large subunit ribosomal RNA", at positions 19 to 616 of the family's 3401-position model. The record is from RNAcentral. Lineage: Eukaryota; Fungi; Neocallimastigomycota; Neocallimastigomycetes; Neocallimastigales.